Molecule: long non-coding RNA, 612 nt
Organism: Bubalus bubalis (water buffalo)
Lineage: Eukaryota; Metazoa; Chordata; Mammalia; Artiodactyla; Bovidae
Exons: 2
Source: RefSeq, a predicted model, not a curated record
GAGGCCUGCAAACGUGCCCACUUGAUUCUAAAUCCUCUUAGGCGCUCGCGGUGUGAACCGGGAAGGGGGUGGCCCUCCAAGCCUUUGCAAUCCCAGACCUGGAGCCUGGCGCUCGGCGAGCGGUUUGCACCACGCAUGCAAAUCGAGUUGGCGUCUUGGAGACGUGGGCAGAGUCUGUUGGGUUACCAGCAAACGCCCCGAUACGGCCCUUCAGUGCCACGCGGGGUCCCGAAAAAUGUGCAGGGUGUUUCCCCUGGAAAGACUUCCUGUUAAGUGUUCAGAAAAGCCAGCUGAGCUGCGCGUCAUUAGUCACCCAGAAUUCCCUGUAGGACUCCUGGGAUGUGAAGAACUACUCCCUGAUAGGAUCCCUUUGGAAUUCCUUACAUCAGAAGACAGCAUCUUUGCUUGACAAUCUGAUUUAAAAAAAAAAAAAAAAAAAAGGUUUUCUAUCCAUAAAACUGGAAUCUGCCUCCACUUAUGGAACCAUGGAGAAUUAAUCAAAUUUCUAUUUCACAUGGUAUUACCCUUCAGAUGUUUGGAGACACUCCUCACACCCUCACCCCCAGUGUUCUCCCAGCUAAACACCUGCAGAUUGACCAGUCUGUCCCGUGG